UCCAAUCCGAGCCAAUUAUGGCCCCCUCCCCACCACAACCCUCCACCACCAUCGAGUAACCGCCGAUCACUGCCAAUUUCAUCAUUGAUUUCACUGUCCUUUUUCUUUUCUUCCCCUUGAUAGUCGACGCGUUGGGGUUACCACGCCGGCCUCCAUGCCUCACCGAAGUCAAGGCCGCAACCACACCUUGGAGUAUGAAAACUCAACAUUGAUGGCUCAGUUCAAGACACUGUUGCAGCUUCAGCAUUUAUAAUUCAUGAUAAUCAGGGAAAACUAAUUGCAGCAGGAGGAAAGAAAUUGAGACAUUGCUCUGGGUGUUUGGAGAAUUUGUAGUUGUUUGAUAUGGUCUACAGCUGCUAUAAACAAUCUUGGAGCUUAACAAUUAUGGAUGGUAAGGAAAUUUAACAACAGAGAUAAAUUGGAUUACAUAUCCUUCUUGUAAAUAUAGGCAGGAGGAUAUAAAUAUGUGGAUGACUUCAAGAUGGGCAAUUAAAGUUACUCAUAUACCAAGAGAAGGAAACUAUGCAGCAGAUUGGUUGGCUGCACCAGCUUGUCAGAGUGACCUCUUCAUCUCAGAGACAGAUUGGAUUCAUCCUGAGUCGGCGUAUAUACUGGCUGCAGAUGGUUUACGAAUUGUACAUAUAAAGGCCUAGGCUCAGUUAUGUCCUGUAACGUAUAUACUUCUCCGUUUCAAGAAUACUAAUUCCUUCUCUUCUGUAUGUAAUAAAGAAGGCCUUCAAGUUUA
This is a non-coding RNA of Phoenix dactylifera (date palm), 745 nucleotides long. NCBI's taxonomy places the organism in Eukaryota, Viridiplantae, Streptophyta, Magnoliopsida, Arecales, Arecaceae. The record is from RefSeq and is a predicted model, not a curated record.